AGCUACCCCGGGGAUAACAGGCUUAUCUCCCCCAAGAGUUCACAUCGACGGGGAGGUUUGGCACCUCGAUGUCGGCUCAUCGCAUCCUGGGGCUGUAGUCGGUCCCAAGGGUUGGGCUGUUCGCCCAUUAAAGCGGUACGCGAGCUGGGUUCAGAACGUCGUGAGACAGUUCGGUCCCUAUCCGUCGUGGGCGUAGGAAAUUUGAGAGGAGCUGUCCUUAGUACGAGAGGACCGGGAUGGACAUACCUCUGGUGUACCAGUUGUCGUGCCAACGGCAUAGCUGGGUAGCUAUGUGUGGACGGGAUAAGUGCUGAAAGCAUCUAAGCAUGAAGCCCCCCUCAAGAUGAGAUUUCCCAACUUCGGUUAUAAGAUCCCUCAAAGAUGAUGAGGUUAAUAGGUUCGAGGUGGAAGCAUGGUGACAUGUGGAGCUGACGAAUACUAAUCGAUCGAAGACUUAAUCAA
RNAcentral lists this ribosomal RNA (462 nucleotides) under Staphylococcus aureus. RNAcentral describes it as "partial 23S ribosomal RNA". It matches the Rfam family "Bacterial large subunit ribosomal RNA", at positions 2461 to 2925 of the family's 2925-position model. The record is from RNAcentral. Lineage: Bacteria; Bacillati; Bacillota; Bacilli; Caryophanales; Staphylococcaceae.